UGGGGAAUAUUGCUCAAUGGGGGAAACCCUGAAGCAGCAACGCCGCGUGGAGGAUGACGGUCUUCGGAUUGUAAACUCCUUUUAUCAGAGAAGAAACCUGACGGUAUCUGAUGAAUAAGCGCCGGCUAACUCCGUGCCAGCAGCCGCGGUAAUACGGAGGGCGCAAGCGUUACUCGGAAUCACUGGGCGUAAAGGGCGCGUAGGCCGGCUAAUAAGUCAGGGGUGAAAUACAACGGCUUAACCGUUGAACUGCUCUUGAAACUGUUAGCCUAGAGUGCGGGAGAGGCAGAUGGAAUUGGUGGUGUAGGGGUAAAAUCCGUAGAGAUCACCAGGAAUACCCAUUGCGAAGGCGAUCUGCUGGAACGUUACUGACGCUGAGGCGCGAAAGCGUGGGGAGCAA
This 400-nucleotide ribosomal RNA is filed under the name uncultured bacterium. RNAcentral describes it as "bacterial SSU rRNA". It matches the Rfam family "Bacterial small subunit ribosomal RNA", at positions 355 to 771 of the family's 1533-position model. The record is from RNAcentral.